GUGUCAGCAGCCGCGGUAAUACGGAGGAUCCGAGCGUUAUCCGGAAUUAUUGGGUUUAAAGGGUGCGUAGGCGGCACGAUAAGUCAGGGGUGAAAUACAGCGGCUCAACCGUUGCAGUGCCUUUGAUACUGUUGUGCUUGAAUUCGGUCGAAGGCGGCGGAACGGGACAAGUAGCGGUGAAAUGCAUAGAUAUGUCCCAGAACCCCGAUUGCGAAGGCAGCUGCCUAGGCCGUUAUUGACGCUGAUUCACGAAAGCGUGGGGAUCGAACAGGAUUAGAAACCCUUGUAGUCC
RNAcentral lists this ribosomal RNA (292 nucleotides) under uncultured prokaryote. RNAcentral describes it as "partial 16S ribosomal RNA". It matches the Rfam family "Bacterial small subunit ribosomal RNA", at positions 505 to 796 of the family's 1533-position model. The record is from RNAcentral.